Molecule: ribosomal RNA, 497 nt
Filed under: uncultured bacterium
Lineage: Bacteria
Description: partial 16S ribosomal RNA
Rfam family: Bacterial small subunit ribosomal RNA
Source: RNAcentral
GAUGAACGCUGGCGGCGUACCUAAUACAUGCAAGUCGAGCGAACGGACGAGAAGCUUGCUUCUCUGAUGUUAGCGGCGGACGGGUGAGUAACACGUGGAUAACCUACCUAUAAGACUGGGAUAACUUCGGGAAACCGGAGCUAAUACCGGAUGAUAUUUUGAACCGCAUGGUUCAAAAGUGAAAGACGGUCUUGCUGUCACUUAUAGAUGGAUCCGCGCUGCAUUAGCUAGUUGGUAAGGUAAUGGCUUACCAAGGCAACGAUGCAUAGCCGACCUGAGAGGGUGAUCGGCCACACUGGAACUGAGACACGGUCCAGACUCCUACGGGAGGCAGCAGUAGGGAAUCUUCCGCAAUGGGCGAAAGCCUGACGGAGCAACGCCGCGUGAGUGAUGAAGGUCUUCGGAUCGUAAAACUCUGUUAUUAGGGAAGAACAUAUGUGUAAGUAACUGUGCACAUCUUGACGGUACCUAAUCAGAAAGCCACGGCUAACUACGUG